UCUUGUGAUGGUCUCUUCGCCGCUUCCUCGUCCUCUUUUGGUGA
RNAcentral lists this non-coding RNA (44 nucleotides) under Plasmodium falciparum 3D7. The record is from RNAcentral. Lineage: Eukaryota; Apicomplexa; Aconoidasida; Haemosporida; Plasmodiidae.